Molecule: ribosomal RNA, 510 nt
Filed under: uncultured bacterium
Lineage: Bacteria
Description: partial 16S ribosomal RNA
Rfam family: Bacterial small subunit ribosomal RNA
Source: RNAcentral
GGCGAACGCUGGCGGCGUGCUUAACACAUGCAAGUCGAACGAAGAGCGAUGGAAGCUUGCUUCUAUCAAUCUUAGUGGCGAACGGGUGAGUAACGCGUAAUCAACCUGCCCUUCAGAGGGGGACAACAGUUGGAAACGACUGCUAAUACCGCAUACGAUCUAAUCUCGGCAUCGAGGAUAGAUGAAAGUUGCCCUCUACAUGUAAGCUAUCACUGAAGGAGGGGAUUGCGUCUGAUUAGGUAGUUGGAGGGGUAACGGCCCACCAAGGCGAUGAUCAGUAGCCGGUCUGAGAGGAUGGACGGCCACAUUGGGACUGAGACACGGCCCAGACUCCUACGGGAGGCAGCAGUGGGGAAUCUUACGCAAUGGACGAAAGUCUGACGGAGCAACGCCGCGUGAGUGAUGACGGCCUUCGGGUUGUAAAGCUCGGUUAAUCGGGACGAAAGGCCUUCUUGCGAAUAGUGAGAAGGAUUGACGGUACCGGAAUAGAAAGCCACGGCUAACUACGUG